GAUGAACGCUGGCGGCGUGCCUAAUACAUGCAAGUCGAGCGAACAGACGAGGAGCUUGCUCCUCUGACGUUAGCGGCGGACGGGCGAGUAACACGUGGAUAACCUACCUAUAAUACUGGGAUAACUUCGGGAAACCGGAGCUAAUACCGGAUAAUAUAUUGAACCGCAUGGUUCAAUAGUGAAAGACGGUUUUGCUGUCACUUAUAGAUGGAUCCGCGUCGCAUUAGCUAGUUGGUAAGGUAACGGCUUACCAAGGCAACGAUGCGUAGCCGACCUGAGAGGGUGAUCGGCCACACUGGAACUGAGACACGGUCCAGACUCCUACGGGAGGCAGCAGUAGGGAAUCUUGCACAAUGGGCGAAAGCCUGACGGAGCAACGCCGCGUGAGUGAUGAAGGUCUUCGGAUCGUAAAGCUCUGUUAUUAGGGAAGAACAACUGUGUAAGUAAAUAUGCACGUCUUGACGGUACCUAAUCAGAAAGCCACGGCUAACUACGUG
RNAcentral lists this ribosomal RNA (497 nucleotides) under uncultured bacterium. RNAcentral describes it as "partial 16S ribosomal RNA". It matches the Rfam family "Bacterial small subunit ribosomal RNA", at positions 28 to 507 of the family's 1533-position model. The record is from RNAcentral.